GCACUGAUAUUCCCAUUUCACUGAUGAGGAAGUUGGGACCUAGAGAUGCUACAUAACUACUGUGUUGGGAUCAGGGUCCUAGAAUUCUAGGAUUUUAGAUUUGAAAGGGACCUUGAGGGCUAUGCAGGGCAAUCACUUAAUUUUAAAACUGAUACUAUUGUGGGGUGCUAGAGGUGAACCCCUGGAGUCUGGGGAGGGUACCUUGUGCAAGAAUGCGAGACUGAAACUUAGCUUAAAAAUAAAGAGAGAAAUGUAUUCAUUUGGAAGGUAAUGUUGAAUCUGGCCAGGAGGACAGCAUAGGUGAAACAGCAUAGGUGGAAAGCUGCUCCUCGGGAGGACAGCAUGCCGGGAAAGCUGUCCUUCAGAGGCCAUCAAGCCUGGGAUUUUAUACUCUUUACCACCGAGUGGGGAGGGGAUGGGGGGGGCAGGGCUCUGGAGCUAGGGGUUGGGAGGAGGCUUGCCCGAAGGCAUGGGGGUGGGUCCAUCUCCAGUCCAAGGGACCAUAGAAGAAGGGCAAUCCAUCCUCCCGGUCAGGUGUUUUGGUUUGGGAGAGCCGAGCUGAGGAACUAGCCUGAUAAGAGUUUGCCUGGGUUUCUUCUGGGGGACAAUGCCCAAGCCUGUUCGGAGUCCUGCAAAGAUGCAGAAACCUUGGCAUUUUACAGACCGAAAUGCAUAUUCUACUUCUGGGGAAGAUUGUAUCUGCAAAGUUGGAAAAGGAAAACAAACUCUUCAAUUCCUCCGUUGUAUAAACAAGUUGAUCACAUUUUAAUUGGAAGCCUGGAAUGUAUGGAGUGCAAAGGAAGUGAAUUGCACCAAGUCCUUGCGCUCCAGAAUCUCCCAGGGAAGGAGGCGAGGCAGAUUUUGUUUUGUUUCGGGUGUUUUUAUUCAACCACCUCCAAGGAUUCAUGCUUCUUCGUUGAGCUCCCCAGGAAGGGAAUUCUCUUUACCAAUGCAGUUGAGGCUGGUAAAGAGGGGCAGAAGGAUCUCCUGACUGGACCUGAGACCCUAUUUUCCUGGUGA
RNAcentral lists this long non-coding RNA (1020 nucleotides) under Monodelphis domestica (gray short-tailed opossum). RNAcentral describes it as "lncRNA (ENSMODG00000047662.1)". The record is from RNAcentral. Lineage: Eukaryota; Metazoa; Chordata; Mammalia; Didelphimorphia; Didelphidae.